GAGAGGCUUCGGCAAUGGGGGAAACCCUGACCGAGCGACGCCGCGUGGGGGAUGAAGGCCCUUGGGUUGUAAACCCCUUUUGUUCGGGAAGAAAUGCGAUCAGGUGAACAAUCUGGUCGUUUGACGGUACCGGACGAAUAAGCACCGGCUAACUCCGUGCCAGCAGCCACGGUAAUACGGAGGGUGCGAGCGUUGUCCGGAUUUAUUGGGUUUAAAGGGUGCGUAGGCGGCCCGUUAAGUCCGGGGUGAAAGCCCGUUGCUCAACAACGGAACUGCCCUGGAUACUGACGGGCUUGAGUACAGACGAGGUUGGCGGAAUGGACCGAGUAGCGGUGAAAUGCAUAGAUACGGUCCAGAACCCCGAUUGCGAAGGCAGCUGACUAGGCUGUUACUGACGCUGAGGCACGACAGCGUGGGGAGCGAA
Molecule: ribosomal RNA, 424 nt
Filed under: uncultured bacterium
Lineage: Bacteria
Description: bacterial SSU rRNA
Rfam family: Bacterial small subunit ribosomal RNA
Source: RNAcentral